RNAcentral lists this small nuclear RNA (19 nucleotides) under Arabidopsis thaliana (thale cress). RNAcentral describes it as "snRNA_01994". The record is from RNAcentral. Lineage: Eukaryota; Viridiplantae; Streptophyta; Magnoliopsida; Brassicales; Brassicaceae.
UUAAAUUAAAUCCAACUAA